Ziziphus jujuba (common jujube) is the source of this 1267-nucleotide long non-coding RNA. RefSeq lists it as uncharacterized. The transcript has 3 exons. The record is from RefSeq and is a predicted model, not a curated record. NCBI's taxonomy places the organism in Eukaryota, Viridiplantae, Streptophyta, Magnoliopsida, Rosales, Rhamnaceae.
CAAACAAUGAUUCUGUCCCACUCGUUCAGAAUUAAUCAGACCCGUCUUCCCCCUGGGUCACUUUUGUCCCAAACUUGCCGAAGCUCUCCACUUUCUCGCUGGUGUCUCUCGCCGAAGCAGCUCCAGUCCGAUCGUGUCAAAAAUUGAAGCUUGGCCCGCACGGUUAGCUCGUCCUGUAGCGAUUCCUUCCCAUUAGUUUAUAGGAUUUUGGUGCUGGUUUUUGUGUUUUUGGUGAUUGGGGGUUCUUUUGUGGAUAAUUGUGACUAACUGGCAUAGAAUUGAGCUGACUGUGAGCAUAAUCGAGGUUGCGUCUGAUGCUCUUUCUAAGAACCUGGGUUUGUUCGUGGUUCUGCCCAGUUUGAUAUUGGGGUUGGUUGUCUAUCAUGCGCCCAUUGUUGUGUUCUGGGUGUUUGCCAGGUUGAAUGGGCCGAUUGUGCCAUGGGAAUCCAAGGGAGAAUAAACUUGUGUAGAAACAAGAUAGUUGGGUGCCUGCUUAUUUCACAUUGGCAAUUCUUACCAUGUUGUGGUCUGCUGCUGCGAUGGUGAAGGCGUAGGUGUUUGUGAUCAGUGGAACAAUUUUACAGUGGUACUUCUAGAAGGCGGAGGAUUCAACUCCUAAGCGGAGUAUUAGAAGUCCGUUGAGAAGUUUCAACAUCUACGGUUGGCAUGAAAGAUGAGAACAAAGGUUGUUUGGUACAGAAGGCCAAGAUUGAGAUUGUGCUGGGAAAGCCUGAGAAAUUUGACUCUUUUAUGACUGCUGCUGUGGCAUCUGAGAUAGCUACUGCAGACAAGGAAAAUGUUAAGAAACUGGCAAGGAAAACAAGUGGAAAGGAAAAUGAUAAAUAAUAGAAACCUUCUUCUUCAAUGCCCUUUUUUUUUCUUUUCUUUUUUUAAGUUUAAUAUAACACUCUUUCUUACUCUCUGAUCUCACAGAGUUAAGUAGGAGAGUAGUCAGGUGUUCUGUUAUUGAAGAUGGUAGUAUGGAAUGGUUAAAAGAGUACAGAGAAACAACAACUUGAAAUAAGAUAGCAUUGUAUAAAGGUUGCAGUUGCAUGCUACUUUCUAGUCUCAUCCUUUUCUCAAGGAGUUGUAAAGAUUUUCUCUGUUACCAUACCAUGUUUUGCUGGCUUUGUAUUCAUCUAAACUUACUGCACAUAAUAUGAUGAGUGAAUAGUUGAUUAGGAAAGGAAUUGCAUUUACCUUUCUUCAGAUUAGUCUGCAGCUUGAUUUUUGGUCAAAUUUGUUUUAUUUUCUUAAUUGUGUUUAU